RNAcentral lists this transfer RNA (75 nucleotides) under Patescibacteria group bacterium. RNAcentral's name for it is "tRNA-Glu". It matches the Rfam family "tRNA". Rfam says of the family: Transfer RNA (tRNA) molecules are approximately 80 nucleotides in length. RNAcentral also lists the same sequence under 1 other name. The record is from RNAcentral.
GCCGCUAUCGUCUAAUGGUUAGGACACCAGCUUUUCAAGCUGAGAAUCGGGGUUCGAUUCCCCGUAGCGGUACCA